AAAUGAAUAGACGGGGACCCGCACAAGCGGUGGAGCAUGUUGAUUAAUUCGACGCAACGCGAAGAACCUUACCAAGGCUUGACAUCCCGAUGGAUGUCAUAGAGAUAUGGCAGGCCCUCCGGGGACAUCGGAGACAGGUGGUGCAUGGUUGUCGUCAGCUCGUGUCGUGAGAUGUUGGGUUAAGUCCCGCAACGAGCGCAACCCCUAUCCUUAGUAGCCAACGGGUAAGGCCGUGCACUUUAGGGAGACUGCCGUUGAUAAAACGGAGGAAGGUGGGGACGAUGUCAAAUCAUCAUGCCCCUUAUGUCUUGGGCUUCAAACGUGCUACAAUGGCCCUUACAGAGUGACGCGAGGCCGCGAGGCGGAGCAAACCACAAAAAGGGGUCCCAGUUCGGAUUGCAGGCUGCAACCCGCCUGCAUGAAGUUGGAAUCGCUAGUAAUCGCGAAUCAGCACGUCGCGGUGAAUACGUUCCCGGGUCUUGUACACACCGCCCGU
RNAcentral lists this ribosomal RNA (496 nucleotides) under uncultured bacterium. Its description in RNAcentral is "bacterial SSU rRNA". It matches the Rfam family "Bacterial small subunit ribosomal RNA", at positions 903 to 1397 of the family's 1533-position model. The record is from RNAcentral.